Molecule: long non-coding RNA, 1254 nt
Filed under: Equus asinus (donkey)
Lineage: Eukaryota; Metazoa; Chordata; Mammalia; Perissodactyla; Equidae
Description: lncRNA (ENSEASG00005024170.1)
Source: RNAcentral
CUGAAGUGGAAAGGCAAUGGCUGCAACUGCUGGGUUUCCCAGAAACCUCAGCUCCUCCUCCCAGCUCUGCACGUCUUGCUUUGAGAAGCACCCAAAAGGUCAGCUGGAAUUCAAGUCGUGUCAAGCUAUCCCUAAUCGUAGAGGAGGCACACUUUAGAUCUUGAACAGCUCACAGGUGUUUGGGCGCUUCUGGAGUUGCUCACAAGAAUAAAGGCAAAUCAGAGGGAGGACCAACAUUUAGUCCUGCUGCAAACAGGCCCCAGAUGCAGGACUGGAGUUCUUCUUCUUGCUUAUUGUACAGAUGUGUGCAGAAGUCAUGGAAAACAUCCAGGACCAGGUCUAUCUACAAGUACAAGUUGUCAAGAGGAGACCAUAUAUGCUUCUGUCUUGUAGUUUCCCAAUUUAUUCAGAAAGGAUAUCGAUCUGAGCGAAGAUAAGGUGGCUGCAGACAGCAGGAGGAGAAACGCCAUCACACAUUUUCCUCUCAUCCCUUGGCUCCUCAUGGAGAGGAGAAAACAAGCCCAGGCAGAGCAUCCUGCCCCUGGUCAUUGAUGGUAGAGGUGGUUCAGAGGAACACAUGCUGGUCCAAGACUGGGUGCUACUGUAACCUGGCCGUCUUCCACCUGAAGUCCAGCCCAGUGCCUACUGCUCUGCUUUCUGCUUAUGGGUUGUUCAGUGCCGCAGCCUGCCUGCCUUGGCUUUUCAAGUGUCAUCUGUUCCUGUAUUCCCCAGAUCCCAGCUCUGCCCGCCACAUCAGGAAGUCCACCCUCUUACAGCCUGAUGAGCCCCUCGGAGGCUGGAGACUGCCCUACCUUCGAUACUGUACCCCACACCUUCAGCUGGAUCUCUUCCAGACCUGGCCUCUGUCCCGGUGGUAGUUUCAUGCCACAUCCAUCUGUUCCCACUACAUGCCCCUUCCAUGCCCCAGGAAUUCAGAGACCAAGUAAAAAAUGAGCAUUCCUAGCGACCAUAAUUAGAUUCCAAAGAUGAGAAAGGAGUUUUUAAGUAAAUGCCAACCAUCUCCAUAUAAAAAAAGAAAACUUUUUAAUCGAUUGUUGGGGGGAGCUGUUAAUGAGCUAACCACUUUUAAUUCAAUAUUUGACAGUAAUUGCAACAGAAUUACAUUUAACAAGACAAGAACCUCUAUGGGUUUUUAGCAGUCAAAUGAGGUACAGAAUGGUUCUUUUCAAGGAACUGAAAUAUAAUCAAAGGAGCCUUCAUGCCUGUUGCUGAGUCUGAGUGACAAGACUACCA